UCUACGGGAGGCAGCAGUGAGGAAUAUUGGUCAAUGGGCGAGAGCCUGAACCAGCCAAGUCGCGUGAAGGAUGACGGCCCUACGGGUUGUAAACUUCUUUUGUCAGGGAGCAAUUGAGUCCACGUGUUGUCUUAGCGAGAGUACCUGAAGAAAAAGCAUCGGCUAACUCCUUGCCAGCAGCCGCGGUAAUCCGGAGGAUGCGAGCGUUAUCCGGAUUUAUUGGGUUUAAAGGGUGCGUAGGCGGAAUGUAAAGUCAGCGGUAAAAAUUCGGGGCUCAACCCCGUCGUGCCGUUGAAACUGGUGUUCUUGAGGGGGCGAGAAGGAUGCGGAAUGCGUGGUGUAGCGGUGAAAUGCAUAGAGAUCACGCAGAACUCCGAUUGCGAAGGCAGCAUACCGGCGCCCGACUGACGCUGAAGCACGAAAGCGUGGGUAUCGAACAGGAUUAGAUACCCUAGUAGUC
This 460-nucleotide ribosomal RNA is filed under the name uncultured bacterium. Its description in RNAcentral is "partial 16S ribosomal RNA". It matches the Rfam family "Bacterial small subunit ribosomal RNA", at positions 338 to 795 of the family's 1533-position model. The record is from RNAcentral.